RNAcentral lists this long non-coding RNA (5190 nucleotides) under Nicotiana benthamiana. RNAcentral describes it as "long non-coding RNA (NBEN_LNC009019)". Lineage: Eukaryota; Viridiplantae; Streptophyta; Magnoliopsida; Solanales; Solanaceae. The record is from RNAcentral.
GGCCUUGUAUUUUUAUUCCGCACUGUUAUUUAAGAAUUUUACUACGCAACAUUGCUUAAUUAAAGGCUUAAAAAUGACUCUUGAUGAUUAAAUAGUUAAUGUGAGUGUUGUGUCAGCUGGCCUUAUCUUCACAAGAGGCGCUAUCAUGACUGGGUCAGUUAGGAUCGUGACAUAAACAUCCCUAUUUUGUCUUUGAGAUUCUACACUUCUUCUUCACCAUAUCUUGCACAUAAUCUUGCAUAAAUUUCUUCUUGACUUCCCUGCCUCUUUUUGAUACUCUCACAGCGUCAGUGUCACCUUGCAAAAUUUUAUGGCCAUGUAAAGAUCUCCAACAACAUCUUGUUUAGGAACAUCAUAUAAAAUAAUACAAUACCAUGAGGAAAAGUAAAACUAGAACAUACAAAGGAUCAAGAAAGGUUUCAAACUAAUUUACCUAUAUAGUUUGUUGAUUUUUUACGAUGAGGUGCACAUCUAUCCUUUCUUCUUUGUUUUGGUUUGGAGCAGGGUCUUCAUUUGGGUUGGAGCAGGGUCUUGACAUGGAUUUGGAGAAGGUGGUUGUUGGUUCGGAAAGCUAGAGGAAUUUUUUCACAUAUUUACUAUGGCCUCCACAUUAUGCCCAACCACUUUGCAAAUAGAGCAACUAACUUGCACAACAGCCUUCUUAGAUAUUCGUUGAGGUUUCUUCUUCUCAGCCCUAUUCUCCUUUGCACUCUAAGCAGCUUCUCUUUGUUUUUCUGGUUCUUUAGCCUCAUUUCUUCUAUCCUUAGGCUUCCUCCCUCUCUUUUUCUUUACUACCUUAGGUGGGAGAAUGUCACCACCUCUUACAACCUCAGGUCAGUGAUCUUCAAGGCCGGUAGGGUUUAUACAGUAAGAGUAUACUUUCUUGUAGUUUUCCACUUUGUAAUAGUCCAUGACAUAAUCUUCUAUUAACUCAUUGUUGCCAAGAAUACUAAUCACACCAUGGUGACAAGGCAAUCCAAUCAAAUCCUACCUUCUACAAGUACAAGUCUUGGCAGACAUAUCAACAAUAUAUGGCCCUUCAGAACCUUCAACUAAGACCCUAGGGCCUCUUGAAAAAUCAGGUUGAAACAUUAUUUCCUCCAUCCUAAUUUUCAACAACUUUUUUCAAUCUUAGGGCAUAUUGGCCCUUGGUAUCUCAAUCCACUCUUCUUUUUAACCAACCUCAUCAUCAACUUGUUCCUGGUCAUUUAUAGUACUGUUAUCCUUGUCCCUAGCAUCAAGUAUAUAUAUAAAAAGAUAUAUAUAACUUCGUAUGUUAUUAAAAGUAAAAGUGCAUAAGAAAAUGCAUAUUCUUAAUUAUAUGUUGAAGCUUUUACAUGAAUUGUUCAAUAACAUGUCACAUUUGGUAUGGCUUUUAAAUAAUGCUCGAAUCCAAGUAUUGAAUGGCCUCUCGGGGUUAUUGAACCAUUCUCUGGUCUCUUUGUCCUCAUUUUCCGAUUCAUCUAAAAACUACUUAAACAAGACUUCAUUACUAGCUCUAGCUUCACUCCAAAUUAAGUCUUGCAAAUUCUUACCUUUGUGUUUUUUUCUGAAAUGCUGAUACAUAUGCCUAACGCAAUUCUAGUGUUCAGUACUAGGGUACAAAUCGUUCAUAGCUCCAAUCUACCCCUUCAAAAAUAUUAUGAAACAUAAAACUUAGAACAAUGAAUAAAAUAUAAAGAAACGGAGUAAAAUACUAACGAAAUAAUAUUACCUUGACAUAAAUGAUAUGUGAUGUAUAUUCUGAAUCUCUCUUCCGCUCCUAGGUUAACCGGACACCAACUCCAAGUUUCCCUACUUUAGCUUCAACUAUGACUACAUAUGUUGUUGGAAAAUGAAAUGAUUUGUGUCAAUAGCCACUACACUCAACAAGUUCCCUCCAUAAUUUCACUUUAACCAACAAUCAUCCAAGCUAAUAAAUGGUAUACAACCAAAUUUAGAAGCAUUCUUCAAUGUUCCAAUACAAAUAUAAAACAAAAAUAUUCUGCUUUUGUCUCUCCACAAAAUUACAGAAGAGACUGGAUUUCUUUUUAAUAAAUCCUCUCAAUAUGAUAACAACUUCGCCUAUUGAGUUUCCUCAUCUCCAUAAAUCAAUUUUUGUGCCAUAUUAAUUGCGCUCCAAGCUUUCAUAUAACUAAUUUUAUUGUUAUAGUCAUUUCUAAUAAUUUCAAUUAAAUCAUUUACGCACCAUGAUAGAUCAGCUCUGAAUGUACUAAAAUACCUAUUAGCAAGCCAUGCAAUAUUCAUAUGGACAUUGUCAAACACAAUUCCACCUAUGUGCUCCAAAUUACAAGACUUAAUCUGAAUAGUUGGAGCAGUCUUACUCAGUAUAGUAUCAUACACUCUAAAAGGAUACUCAUUUUUUUUGCAUUUACAUAUCACUCUCUCCUGGUCGUUAUUAGAGAAUUUAAGCCGAAACCUACUUUUAAUACGAUAAUUUCUACAAGCAUCUUCAAACUUCUUUAAGCUACUAAAUUUCAUUCCAAGUUCCAAACUUGGAUUAUAUUUAUGUUUUUUCUCUAUCAUAUUCUUCAUAGUGAACUGCCUCCCCUUUAUCAUCUUUCGUACCAGAUAUUCUCUCGUAUGAUAAUUCCUCUAAUUUAGCAACAUCUGAGUCAUAUUUGUCAUUUCCUUCUAGUAUAAGUGUCACGAUCCCAACCCGAUCGUGAUGCCGCCCAACACACUACUAGUCAAGCCCGACCUUGUUACCACAAAUCCCACAAACAUAGAUAGAUUCCAGAAGCAAUAACAUAAUAUAAUAGGAGUCUGAAUUUACUGGAAAGUGCGGAAAUAACAAAAUACAUGAAAUAGUCCCACUAGGACUCGGCGUCACAAAUUUGAGCCUCUAUAAUGCAUAAUGUCGUACCAAUACAAAGUUUGCCUAAGCUCAAAGUGUGAAAAAUAAGACAUAGGGAUGGAAGGGAGAAAGUCAAUGGCUGCAAACGCCGUGCAGCUACAUUGACACUCCCGUAAAGUUGUAUUUGCUGAAUGCUGAAUCUACUCAGCCUGACACUGCUUUGGAUUUGCACACAAGGUGCAGGGAGUAUAGUGAGUACUGUAACCCAGUGAGUAAUAAAAUUAUAUAGUCCGAAGAUAGGAAAACACAGAAAUACACAAGAUAAGCUAAAUCCAAUGAUACAGUGACAUGUGAAAAUUAACAGCUGAUCAACAAGUAAAGGUGCAAAUGUAUGAAUGCAAUGCAAUGCAUAUGAUGGUACAAUCCAGUACCCACUAUGGCAUGCAGCCCGAUCCAUUUAUUUAUCAUCGAAGGCACUCACUGGGGGUGUAUACAGACUCCGUAGGGGCUCCUACAGCCCAAGCGCAAAUAUUACCGCAACGUGCAGUGCGAUAUAUAUAUAUAUGCUGCGAUGCGGUGCGCAGCCCGAUCCAUGCACUGUCCAAUAAUCAUCAUAAGUCCCAUGAGCAUUUAUAACACAGUAGUUCUUAGCCCGGAAUAUCAUGUAAAAAUGUCAUUUGAGUUUCAAAACUUAGAAAAUAUGGUUGAGGUUGGAAAACAAUGUUUAAAGACUGUGGACUGUACCAAAUGAUAUGCAAGUGUAUAUAGCAACAACAAUAUCAAUCCCCGAAGGAUUCUAUAAAUUGGUACGAGGCCGAAAUAUGGCAACAAGCCCAAAUAAUAUAAGUAGAAUAUUGUGUUUCAAUCACCAAUAUAUUGUAAAUCUCACUCGGGAUGGACCCAGUCACAAUCCCCACUAGUAACCGACCCCGCACUUGUCAUGGAGUGUGUGUCACGCCUCAAUAUAGCAUUACGAGGUGAAUGUCCGGGGUUUUAAACCCUCCGAACAGUAUUUACAAGUAUUACUGAACUCUAGCCGGCCGAAGACAAGUCCGCAAUUCCCGUUCCUGUCAAAUCGACCUCCUCGCGCGUCAAAUUUGGCCAAAACCACAAUGAAUACAUCACAAUAGGCUAAAGGAAUAUAACCGAAUCGAAAAGACUUGAAAUAUUAAAAAUUGCAAAAUAAGCAAAACUGGAGCCCCCGACGAACUUUUCGAAAUCAAGAAAAUUUUACACAAAAAUGUUCCUCAUCUCGCCACGAGUCUAUACGUAUAAAACUCAUCAAAAUCGGAGCUCCAAUGGGCCAUCAAAUCCCAGUUUCUCAUUCAAAAAUCCAAGCUCUUGUUCUUUCCCUUUUUACUCAAAUUCCAUAUCAAAAUUAGAUGAUGUUUCUAGGUCAUAGGUCUUACCUCUAAUUGAUUCCCGAUCAAAUCCCUCGAAAAAUCUCGUCAAAGGCUUCCAAGAUUGCUUAAAAUGGUGGAAAAUAGACUUAGUUCGCGAAUGAAAUGUUGUUAAAAUCUAUCUGCCUAGAUCACCAAUCAUCCUUCGCGAACGCGGAGCCCACCCACGAACGCGAUGCAUCAACUGGACCCAACUACACAAACGCGGCACCUAGUCGCGAACGCAAUGCACAAGGUUAAGGAUGCCAUAGGUUGAUAGAUGACUACUUGAUCCUUUCGUAGGUCUUCCUAUCCAUUUCUUACUUAAUUGCUCAGUUAUUACUUGCUCGGUUGUUACUUGAUCAGCAUUACAUCCUCAAAUCAUCAUCACCAUCUUCCAAAUUAUAGUCGGGGUCACUAAAGUCUUCAUCAUCACUACCAUCUCUAAUACUCUUACCAUCUUGAAUUCUACUUAAAAAAAAAAAUCAAUAUUAAACACAAUAGCUGCAGAGAUUUCAUUGAACGAUAGACCUAAAUUGAUAUUUGAACCCUAGACAUACAUAAAAUUUAAAGGUACAAAAUAAAAAUAGAUAAUAUGAAAAAAUUCUAACCCCUUAAUACUAUCCAAAUAUACAAAAUAAUACUAAAAUAAAGAUAAACCCUAUCCCACAAUCGUUGUCAUAAUAUAGAAAUUUUCUAAAAUAAAGCAAAAAACCUUAGUAUAUAAUGAGUGCCGCCAACUAAAUUCAAACAAAUAAAUGCAACACAAACAAAAAAUAAAAUUUUUACCUCUUUUGGAAUCAUUCUUAGUGCAGAAGUAUUUUUGUGGUCACUAAGUACAUCAAAAGUAUUAUGGUUGUCUGUUAAAAUACUCCUCUGAUAUGGAGAGGAAGCCAUACUUAAGACCUCUGCUUGAGAGCCUCGAAACAUCAUUGCUUGAGAAGAGAAUUGAGAUAGUUGUAUGUAUUUUGCUGAUCCUUGCUUAAGAGCCCUAAAACACACUUGAGAAACAAC